This is a long non-coding RNA of Mauremys reevesii (Reeves's turtle), 505 nucleotides long. RefSeq lists it as uncharacterized. The transcript has 7 exons. Lineage: Eukaryota; Metazoa; Chordata; Testudines; Geoemydidae. The record is from RefSeq and is a predicted model, not a curated record.
GAGGAAUCCACAUCCUCACUGUCAUCUGCGAUUAUAUGUGAGACAUCAGAAUAUUUCUGUGGCUUGACCAGCCCAGCACAGAGGAGCCGAUAUGGAUCUUUCCGGCCACCUCUGCCAACUGCUGUUCGGUCUGGAGACUAGUGGAAGGAGGAUACAGCAGCCACUGGGAGUUGCAGCCCUUCCCUGUCUGGGCCUGCUGCUUCAGAUACAGCAGUGCAAGAGACUGCAGUGUCAGCCAGAGAUGGUAACCCACCUGACACAGAGUCUCCUGGUCCGGGAGUCAAUAUGGGGUUUUUGGACCGUCUCUGCCAAAGACUGACUCAGACUAUUGGAUGGACACCUUUCCGAACGGACAGGACAGAUCUGGGCUCCAACCAGCCAGGCCCCACUGACUCUUCUGUCCCAGGAAGUUCCAUCCCAGUCCACACAGGAUCAUUCAGUGCCUCAUUUUCCUAGCUUCAUAAUGGGGCUAACAAGACUCACAACCUUCACUGGGGUCUGGAAG